ACUUUGUGGUUCAUGACUGGGGUGAAGUCGUAACAAGGUAGCCCUAGGGGAACCUGGGGCUGGAUCACCUCCUUACCU
Molecule: ribosomal RNA, 78 nt
Filed under: Shewanella baltica
Lineage: Bacteria; Pseudomonadati; Pseudomonadota; Gammaproteobacteria; Alteromonadales; Shewanellaceae
Also listed under: 1 other name
Description: partial 16S ribosomal RNA
Rfam family: Bacterial small subunit ribosomal RNA
Source: RNAcentral